MicroRNA precursor from Oryza sativa Indica Group (long-grained rice), 202 nucleotides. It matches the Rfam family "MIR812 microRNA precursor family". The record is from Rfam. NCBI's taxonomy places the organism in Eukaryota, Viridiplantae, Streptophyta, Magnoliopsida, Poales, Poaceae.
UUUAAGCGCAACCAUGAGUUUUCUUGUCUAAUUCUAAUCGUCCGUCUUAUUUGAAAUAUUUUUUAUUUGUAUUUUUAUUGUUAUUAGAUGAUAAAAUAUGAAUAAUACUUUAUACGUGACUUAUGUUUUUAAAUUUUUUAACAAAAUUUUAAAUAAGACGGACGAUUAAAAUUGGACACGGAAACUCAUGGCUGCGAUUAAA